This 254-nucleotide ribosomal RNA is filed under the name uncultured bacterium. RNAcentral's name for it is "partial 16S ribosomal RNA". It matches the Rfam family "Bacterial small subunit ribosomal RNA", at positions 524 to 776 of the family's 1533-position model. The record is from RNAcentral.
UACAGAGGUCCCGAGCGUUGUUCGGAUUCACUGGGCGUAAAGGGUGCGCAGGUGGUUUGGCAAGUUUGAUGUGAAAGCCCCGGGCUUAACCCGGGAAUGGCAUUGAAUACUGCUUGAACUGGAGGGUUGGAGGGGGGACUGGAAUUCUUGGUGUAGCAGUGAAAUGCGUAGAUAUCAAGAGGAACACCAGUGGCGAAGGCGAGUCCCUGGACAAACCCUGACACUGAGGCACGAAAGCCGAGGGAGCAAACAGG